CUCAUGACUUUGUGCCUCAGUUUCUACUUCUAUAAAAUGAAGGGGCUGCCAUGAGUCAUUGAGUCUGACGUGAGCCCUCUGUCAGCUCCCCUUCCUUCAUGCAGAGCCGCUGUCUUCAGGCUUCCAUCUGAAAGGGUCCCAGGAUGGCCAGAUUACUCCGUGUAGGUGUCUGCUGUAUCUGAGUGAUAAAAGUCAGUAUUUCAGACCCUGCAUUAUUCCGCAGCUGAGCCCUGAGGGUGAUUCGGGCAGAGACCACAGAACCAGGGACCGGGAGCUCAGUGUCAUUUCCCCUCCGAUCAGUCACAGGCUGAGUAAAGACAACUCAGCAGAUGGAUGAGCAGACCCCCUACGGCUCCCAGCAUCCCAAGGAGGGCCCUGCUGAGAAGGUUGAGAUAGCCGGGGAACCGAGUCGGUCCUUCCUGCCGGCCUCCGCCAAGGGGAGGAGAGCCCUGGCUGGAAGGGGGCCCUGCCAUCCCCUAAAGUCACCGGUGUCUAAUGCCAAUGCUCUUGGACAGCCUUUGGCCACCAACAGAGAGAGGGGCGCUGCAGGGAGAUGAUGUCUUUGGCCUCAAAAUCUGCCUCUGUUGGGUGGAGCGGUCACCUCCAGGACGUCAGAGGCACCUGGAAGUCCUGCCAUCUGCGAUGGGGCCCCUGGAGACAGACCAGAGGCGGGGACCAGCCCCCCUUUCUCAGCAGGGCUCUGGGGCAUCAGCAGCCUGCAGACAGAGAAGCUGACCAGUCCCUUCUGUUGCACAUUCGAGGACUCAGGCCAUCCUGGCGUUUUACAGGCUGCAGGAGGUUUGAGAGGCCGGCUCUUUUCAAAGCCGUUUCCUGCGGCUGCCCAGGUCAGCUGAUGCUCCUGGUGCGCCAGUUAACCUUGCUCACCCUUGGUCCAUCCUUCAUGGGGAAGGGAGGCCCCUUGGUGGGAGAGUUACCAUUCCUUAAGGGCCAGCACUGAAGUAGCCCCUUCAGAAGCCCCCCAAAUAGGCAGAGUGGUCCUGAGAAUAUUCACUCUCACACCUACGAUACUGGACAAACUUCUUCCUUUUAAAAACUAAUUCAUUUAUUUUUAGUUUUCAACAUUGUUCUCCCCUCCUUCCCCCCGCCUGCAUUCCCUCCUCCCCUUUCCUCCUCCCCCUCCUCCUCUCCUCUCCUUCUUCCCGCUCCCCCUUUUCCCUCCUCGCCCUUUCCUUCCUCCCCCUCCUCUCCUCCCCUUCUUCCCCCUUCCCCUUUCCCUCCUCCCCGGCCUCGUUCUGUCCCC
This 1261-nucleotide long non-coding RNA is filed under the name Phascolarctos cinereus (koala). RNAcentral describes it as "lncRNA (ENSPCIG00000033894.1)". The record is from RNAcentral. Lineage: Eukaryota; Metazoa; Chordata; Mammalia; Diprotodontia; Phascolarctidae.